GGAUUUGAACCAAUGACUCUUGCCGUAUGAAAGCAAUACUCUAACCACUGAGUUAA
This 56-nucleotide transfer RNA is filed under the name Centranthera grandiflora. Its description in RNAcentral is "tRNA-Thr". The record is from RNAcentral. Lineage: Eukaryota; Viridiplantae; Streptophyta; Magnoliopsida; Lamiales; Orobanchaceae.